Molecule: ribosomal RNA, 573 nt
Filed under: Brevoortia patronus (Gulf menhaden)
Lineage: Eukaryota; Metazoa; Chordata; Actinopteri; Clupeiformes; Clupeidae
Description: partial 16S ribosomal RNA
Rfam family: Bacterial large subunit ribosomal RNA
Source: RNAcentral
CGCCUCCUGCCACCACUAAUUAUAGGAGGUCCCGCCUGCCCUGUGACCAAAAGUUUAACGGCCGCGGUAUUUUAACCGUGCAAAGGUAGCGCAAUCAAUUGUCUUUUAAAUGGAGACCUGUAUGAAUGGCAUAACGAGGGUUUAACUGUCUCUUUUUCCCAGUCAAUGAAACUGAUCUGCCCGUGCAGAAGCGGGUAUAUAUACACAAGACGAGAAGACCCUAUGGAGCUUUAGACGCCAACCAACCACGAAAAGCGACCACUGACUGGAUCCUCAAACAACGUGAUUAUGGCACAAGCGUCUUCGGUUGGGGCGACCACGGGAGAUAACAAAGCUCCCGAGUGGAUAGGGGGACACCCUAAAACCCAGAGCCACAGCUCUAAGUCACAAAAUAUUUGACCAAUAAUGAUCCGGCUUUAUGCCGACCAACGGACCAAGUUACCCUAGGGAUAACAGCGCAAUCCCCUCCCAGAGUCCAUAUCGACGAGGGGGUUUACGACCUCGAUGUUGGAUCAGGACAUCCUAAUGGUGCAGCCGCUAUUAAGGGUUCGUUUGUUCAACGAUUAAAGUCCU